RNAcentral lists this ribosomal RNA (253 nucleotides) under uncultured bacterium. RNAcentral's name for it is "partial 16S ribosomal RNA". It matches the Rfam family "Bacterial small subunit ribosomal RNA", at positions 524 to 776 of the family's 1533-position model. The record is from RNAcentral.
UACGGAGGGUGCAAGCGUUGUUCGGAAUCACUGGGCGUAAAGCGCGUGUAGGCGGCCUUCUUAGUCUGGUGUGAAAGCCCGGGGCUCACCCCCGGAAGUGCAUUGGAUACUGGAAGGCUGGAGUACCGGAGAGGAGGGUGGAAUUCCUGGUGUAGCGGUGAAAUGCGUAGAUAUCAGGAGGAACACCGGUGGCGAAGGCGGCCCUCUGGACGGAUACUGACGCUGAGACGCGACAGCGUGGGGAGCAAACAGG